RNAcentral lists this ribosomal RNA (254 nucleotides) under uncultured bacterium. Its description in RNAcentral is "partial 16S ribosomal RNA". It matches the Rfam family "Bacterial small subunit ribosomal RNA", at positions 524 to 776 of the family's 1533-position model. The record is from RNAcentral.
UACGUAGGGGGCAAGCGUUGUCCGGAUUUAUUGGGCGUAAAGAGCUCGUAGGCGGUUGGGCAAGUCACGUGUGAAAUCUCCACGCUCAACGUGGAGGCGCCACGUGAGACUGCCCUGACUCGAGUCCGGUAGGGGAGCGUGGAAUUCCCGGUGUAGCGGUGAAAUGCGCAGAUAUCAGGAGGAACACCGGUGGCGAAGGCGGGUCUCUGGGCAGUAACUGACGCUGAGGAGCGAAAGCGUGGGGAGCGAACAGG